UCGUCAGGUAGGCUAACCCUUACCUGUUCCUCCAUUCAGGGGGCAGAUAGUACACACGACUAGAGUCCACAUGAUUCAUGAUUAACGUCUCUGCGUGAUUGGGGCUCUCAGCACCCUAGUCGCUCCUGUCUGAU
Molecule: small nucleolar RNA, 134 nt
Filed under: Sorex araneus (European shrew)
Lineage: Eukaryota; Metazoa; Chordata; Mammalia; Eulipotyphla; Soricidae
Description: U8 small nucleolar RNA (ENSSARG00000015428.1)
Rfam family: U8 small nucleolar RNA
About the family: U8 is a member of the C/D class of snoRNA which contain the C (UGAUGA) and D (CUGA) box motifs. U8 is the RNA component of a small complex (the U8 snoRNP) which is required for accumulation of mature large subunit ribosomal RNAs, 5.8S and 28S rRNAs.
Source: RNAcentral